RNAcentral lists this transfer RNA (76 nucleotides) under Neisseria meningitidis. RNAcentral describes it as "tRNA-Phe". It matches the Rfam family "tRNA". From Rfam's summary of the family: Transfer RNA (tRNA) molecules are approximately 80 nucleotides in length. Their secondary structure includes four short double-helical elements and three loops (D, anti-codon, and T loops). The record is from RNAcentral. RNAcentral also lists the same sequence under 1 other name. Lineage: Bacteria; Pseudomonadati; Pseudomonadota; Betaproteobacteria; Neisseriales; Neisseriaceae.
GGCCAGAUAGCUCAGUUGGUAGAGCAACGGAUUGAAAAUCCGUGUGUCGGCGGUUCGAUUCCGCCUUUGGCCACCA